AAGAGAUAAGACAGAUAACAAGUCUGAGCACAUUUUUAUAAAUCAGCAUUUUCCCCGAUCGUGAUAUAGCGAGGCAGAGGAAGUCCAUCGUGCUCUUUCCAUCAUACGUAAUAAUUAUCUCUUAUUACUCUGUAAAAGUGGAAACUGUCAAAUAAAACCCGGAUGUUAAUUCUCCCCGAGAGGUCUAGUCAAUUCUGCCUAUCUGAGCCACCGUGGACGGUGUUUUCAUGACCCCUGGAAGUGAGGAAAGCCUCAGGCGUCCUCGGGGACGUGAGCCCUCUCCCCUCACUCUACUACUCCCGUUCCUCUUCACCUCCUCCGCCUGUAUUCUGUUUGUCUUGCUUGUGCUAGUGCCCCGGAGGACCGAAUUAUGGAUCAACGAGGAGGCAUCCAUCUCCAUCCCGCUCGUGCUAAAAUAAGUGGCCAAUUAACUUGGCGGCGACCGUGUGUGCUUGUCCCCCAUCUGACUGCAGAUUAAUGACCGACCGAGCGCUUUCUCUCCCCGAGCCCAUUUAUCAGAACCAUUUAUCAGAACCAGCCACUAGGCGUCCGGAGCGCUCCCCCCUCUCCUCCCCCCCGGGGCCCCCGGUCCCAGCAUGGCUGUGGGCAAUUGGUUUUAAUUGCUCUCAUUUCUCUUUGCUGUGAGGGGGAAAAGGGACGACUCCGUUGGCAGGUCCUAUUAGCCUGUGAGGCGACAGGAGCUGAGGAUGUCGCACGUCCUGUGAGGGUAGGGUGGUGCAAGACGACUUGUCAUCCACUUCAUUAAAACCUACACCCACUUAGGUGCAGUUGGACUUUCCUUAGACUCGCUGCGGUGUCUUCUGUCUUUUAUCAAAGACAUGACAACCUGUGAUGAGUCUGUAUGGUAGUAAAGAGGUAGGGCUUCUUAUUAAAUGCUUUCAUACAACUUGGGUCUUAUUUUUGGUAGUUUUGGCCAUUGUUUGCAUCUUAAUUUACUACCAAGUAGGAAUAUGACAACAUUGAUUGAAAAAAAGUCCAACGGCACAGGAAAUACAAGCAGUCAGGUGAUAGGACAAGUUUUUAAAAAGUUACUUGGAAUAAAAUAAAGACUAAUAUAGGUUUGAUGAAAACAACGUUACGGUAAACGAUGGAAAUGAUUGCAAAAAGUCACCGUUUGUCAAAAUAAUGUUAACCCAAGGAUUACAAGCAGGGACUGUACAUGGCUUUUACCUCACACUUCAUUUUCUUCACUGUCUUCAUCAGCUGAUUGACCGUCAUAACAUAUGAAGACUGUCAUUUCAGAACCAUAAUAGUUCCUCAGUUACGUAAUAGAAUGUGGUUGUACAAGAAAGAUAUUCAGCCAAAUGGUUCAGAUGGUUAAGAAAAAAACUUUACUUCAAAAUAUAUAUCGAAAUUCUCCCAAUUUAUUCAUUGUACUAAAUAAAGAAAUCGCUUUCUGCAUUGCCUUUAUCAUGUUUUAAGUCUAUGUCUGAAAAUUCAAAUCAGCGUUCCUGGUUCCCAAAUGGAGCUGGAAACACGGCGGUUUGACUCAACAGAAGAAUUUAGCACGUGUCCAUAACCUGAUUAUCCUUAUUAAUGCGUCUAAAAGAGAAGCUUGUGAUACUUCAGUGGCCCAACAUGUUCCCAUUCUACUUCCUCCCCCUUCAGCACCUCAUUAACCAGCAGUAGUUUGGCUGAAAAUGUGAUUAGUGCGUGUAGGUUAGCGAGGGGAAGCCUGAUGAAAUUAGCUCGGCACGGUUGUAAUAGAAUUACCGUGUGUGGGUCAGUCUCUGAGGGCCCGAGGACAUUAGCAGCUUUGAAGGUUAAAGUGAAUCAGGGGUCUUGCAACGCCUUUUUUAUCAGUUGCUAAUUGAGUCCUGAGUCAACAAGUGGGGGCUGUGUGGAGCGCGUGUGCGCGUCUUCUUAUCUCCGUCCGCUGCUUUGGGGACACGUAGAGGUAAUUCCUUUAAAGCUAGAAACGUGCUUGUUUCUUAGUUCUUAUAGUUCUUUUGAACGAUGAGAGACUAGCAAUGUUACAUUUGAUCCCUAAACUGUAACGUGAAAAUUUGCUUUUACCUCGUCACUGAAAGAAGAAGCAGUAUUUGCAAAUGAGGCCCCAUUAUUUAGUUAGAUGUUUGUGUGUCUUUUUUUGUUUCUGUGCCUGCUGCUUUAAGCUAUAAGCGGUUUUCUCACUUUCUAAUCAAAAUAUUUUACAACUGCAAGGAAAUCGAAUAACUCAGAAGACACAAAUUAAGUAGUAAGAAAAGUGAAUGAGAAAGGGAAAGUUAAUUGUCAGAAUCUACUUAAUUUACAAAUGAAAAAGGCAGAUGGCAAACAUCAGUCCAAUAAUCAUAAUUUCUUACUUUUCUAGCAUCUGAUAAGAUUUUUUAUUUAUCCUAAAAACAAGACGAUCACAGGGGUCAUUUUAAACUCCACUGGGUCAAACUGAUGAAAUGGCAGCAUCAAACAGUUUGUUAGGUCUCAAAAGAAAGGAUAAAAGCAUCAGCUAAAUGAUAAAGAAAUAAGAAAUAAGGAAGAAGGAAGAAGGAAGAAGGAAGAAGGAAGAAGGAAAGAGAAGAUAGAAGAACCUUCGGGGCAGAGGAAUGAGCCUUAAUAUUUACACAGUAUGAUUGACAACAAGUCAAGGCUUGUCUUAUCUUAUCUGGUCAUAGUUUUUACAAUCAGAUUGGUCUAUUUGGUAUUUUAUAUUACUACGGAUGAACUGAUGCUCCAGACUGUGUCAUCCUCUAGUGAUCAAAUCAGAAGCUGUUCCUCGCUGCAUGCAGAGCCGGCCAGACUGAAGGAGGGUAUCGAUGGUAUUUGAAAGGCAACGGAGCGCUGCGGCCAGUCUGACCCCGUCCUGCCCCGGCCUUUCAGCGCCGGGCCUUUCAGACGCCACUGGACAAUACCGACUGCUCUCCGGCCUUCAACUGGCCCGUGAGCCGAUUAAGAACCGGACCUGCCACGGAGGGACAGAGCCACGGCCCGACACCACCCACAUCCACCCGCCCCCUCGCCGGGCCUCCGAAGGGGCCCGCUAGUUGCCAAGGUCAGCGGCCGAGCCGACCUCUGAUCUCCCGCCAUGUUUGGACACGUCCGCGCACAAUACGAGGCCCAAGGCAGCUGAUUAGAAUAUGGAAGGGGAUGAAAGAGGGCAAGAGGGCUCCGGACUGUCGCAGGCAUUUGUUUGGGUGCGUGUGUCAAUAUGUGUGUGUUUGUGUUGUUGGCAUGGCGACCUGGUCAGGGACUGUCGGACCACCGGACCUUCACUGGAACCUCCUGCCCUCCCCCAGAUGUGCAGCUCUUGUCUCAGGUCUCUUUGUUUGAGACCAGGAGGGAGGAAUUACACCAGGGAUGAUCCCGUAUUACUGGGCCUGCCGGCCUUUCAGGUCGAGCUUAGUUUUGUUGGCUGGGUCUGGUCUUAUCCUCCUCCCAGUGUUGCCACUAUUGGGUUGAUCCCUUUGAAGUCCUCAUGCACUGACCACCACAUCGGAACAAUACACACAAUCGAAGGUAAUGUGGUGGAUUUGGUGCCAAAUUGAGCAUUACAGAUGUGUGGUUUUGAUUGAGGUGAGUAAAGCAUUUGUUCAGUUUGUUUUAUUACACUGGUAAUAAUAAUGGAUGACAUAUGUGUAUGUAUGUCCCACGUCAUCAGCCCAUAAAACUUUCUGGUUUGCGAGUAAUCAUGUGCCAUGGAUUUGAUGUGUGCUUCAUUCAUUUGCUGGCUUUGUCCUAUUGUCUUUUCUCCCCUAUUAUUUCUUUUGAUGAUAAAUAUUGGAAUGUAAAUCAUUAAAUCAACCCCUAAAUUAAACUU
Gasterosteus aculeatus aculeatus (three-spined stickleback) is the source of this 3775-nucleotide long non-coding RNA. NCBI's taxonomy places the organism in Eukaryota, Metazoa, Chordata, Actinopteri, Perciformes, Gasterosteidae. The record is from Ensembl.